UUCUCUGAUCCAUUCAUUGAGGUACCUGACCAGUUUGUUUUGAUUUUUGGUUUUUUUAAAGAUCUGUUCGGGAGCUGAGAAAGUGCUGGAAAGGAAAGGAAAAUUGAAUUUUGAGUCUGGUGUGUUUGAUCCAACUAUUUUUGGCUUUGUUGUGGUGGUUAUGCGUACUUACUUCUGGAAAUUAAACGAGGAAAAGCAUAUGAUGGAAAUGUAACUUUCUUCUGUUUUCUGCGGUUUUCUCACUUGCCAAACACUCUGUUGAUGGUAAGGUAGAAAUGAGAAAUAAAAAUCAAAUGUUAACUUCUAUUAUUAAAAAAUAAAUAAAAAUCGGGGUAGGAUUUUUUUUUUCUUUUUUUUUUUUUUUGGGGGGGGUGGUUUUUUGAAGAAAGGCGACGGAAGUAGAUGAGCUUACCUGACAAGUUUGUUUUGAUUUUUGGUUUUUUGAAAGAUAAGUUCGGGAGCUGAGAAAGUGCUGGAAAGGAAAGGAAAAUUGAAUUUUGAGUCUGGUGUGUUUGAUCCAACUAUUUUUGGCUUUGUUGUGGUGGUUAUGCGUACUUACUUUUGGAAAUUGAACGAGGAAAAGCAUAUGGUGGAAACGUAACUUUCUGCGGUUUUCUCACUUGCCAAACACUCUGUUGAUGCUAGGUAGAAAUGAGAAAUAAAAAUCAAAUGUU
RNAcentral lists this long non-coding RNA (674 nucleotides) under Vitis vinifera (wine grape). Its description in RNAcentral is "long non-coding RNA (VVIN_LNC005592)". Lineage: Eukaryota; Viridiplantae; Streptophyta; Magnoliopsida; Vitales; Vitaceae. The record is from RNAcentral.